UUUUUUUUAGGCAGUUAAGCUGCCUUAUGCGAGCACCCUGGAUUUGGGUUCCCCCCAGGAAAUUUUUGAAAAAGUGCCAUUGCUCUGAUCUGGCGGGUCUGGUAGAUUCUUUAUAACUAAUUAGACAUUUUUUUCACACUUUUUGUUAUAAAAAACAAUAAAUAUAAGAAAGAUUACCUUAAAUGAUCGUCGAUUUUCCCAAAACAAUUGAUGUUCCCCAUUUGAAAAAGUGCUAAUUAAAAAGUUAAGCAUAGCUUUUUAUCGUCUGUGCUUUUGAUGAAGAUGUAAGUGAACUAUUGUAAGAAUAAUUUCAUCGCCGAAAAUGUUUGUAAUGAAGGCAUUAAAAUUUGCCAAAUGACAUGAAUAUGGCGCAUGAAUAUUAUUUUGCGGCUAUUACGCCGUUGAAUUUGGUGGAUUCCAUCCUACUAAAGGUAAAUAUUUAAAAGCAUUGUCUUACUUCCUCUCUGUAUAAGUCUUGAAUUUGUAAGAAUACUUGAUUAUUUUAUUUCUACAUUGUAUGAAGAUAUGUAUUUUAUUUAAUUAUUUAAUGCAAGCUGAUGUUAUUAUUUGUCAUCGUGUCUCUCCGUACUUGCUAUGUAUCGUGUAAACCCCCAAACAUUAUACUCGAUCAGGGCCAUUGCAAUUUCAAUCGGGACCUCAUUUGAAUACGUAUUUAUAGAUUUUGUCGAUGUCAAUUAAGGUCAUUUCAAGAUGGUUUCCUUUAUCGUGUUUUAGUUAAAAGUAAAAUCACAAAAAUACUGAACUUAAACGAAAAUCUAAAGUUGACAUGGUUAAUUAAUUGCUUUACACA
This 811-nucleotide long non-coding RNA is filed under the name Mytilus galloprovincialis (Mediterranean mussel). The record is from RNAcentral. Lineage: Eukaryota; Metazoa; Mollusca; Bivalvia; Mytilida; Mytilidae.